CAGAAUAUAUAGGAAACUUAGAUGUAACAAAGAAGAAACUGAGAAGUUUUAUAAUAACAAUAUUCUCUGUCUCUCUAAAACAGUAACAAAAUAUGCACAGUUUUAGAAGAUUUCUCUCGAAAUUAUAAAGAACAUUAAUUAAAACAUUAUUGAAACUGCUCUAAAGCAAAGAAUUCUAAAUAACGUUUAUACCAAAACCUGAUAAAUGUACAUGAGCUAGAAAAUUUUUAAAAAUCUAUCUUAUUUAUGAAUAUUAAAGCAAAAAUCCUGCAUAAAAUGAGAAAACAGGAUUCAGCAACCCACUAAAAAUUAUCCACAAUGACUAACUGCACUUUAUUUCAAUACUAUACAACUGGUUCAAUAUUAAAAAACUAAUAUAACUCACCAACAUAAUAGGUCAAAUGAGAAGAAUAUCAUAAUCCCUCUACCCCAUAGAUGUUAAAAAGGCAUUUAAUAAAGUUUAGUAAUAAUUUCUGGUAAAGUUUUCUUAAUAAUAUAAGAACAAAUUGGUAACUCCUUAGCAGAAUCAAAAAAAUUUAUUUUAAACCAGAAGCCAAUAAUUUGCUUAAUGAGAAAACAGUAAUACUAGUCCCAUUAAAAUGAAGAAUAAGAUAAAGGCAACAUUAUUAAAUAUUUUUUGACAGUACCAGUAAAUGCAUUUAGUACAAAAAAGAAAUAUAAGGUAUAAAAACUGAAAAUUAGGAGAUAUAAUUACAUUAAUACAGGAUAACUGUAUAAUUGGAACAUAUAUAAUAAUUUAAAUAUUAGAAACAAAGUAUGGCAAUUUUCAAAAGUAAUACACACAAAAAUAACUUUCCUGUAUGUAAACAAGUUAGAAAAUAUAAAAUAGUAAAUAUUCUAUUUGAAAUUGCUAUUCUCACAACAAAAAUAUUUAGUUUUAGCAACAAAAUAAAAUACCUAACAAUAAACUUAGAAACGGUGCAGAAAAAAAAAAAUUAAAACUAUAAUAAAGGAGAUAAAGGAAAACUAGGAUAAAUGGUGAAACAAAUCUUAUUAUUGGACAGGAAGGUGCAAUUUUAAAAGUAUGUUACUCUUCCUUAAGUUAAUCUAUAAAUUAAUGUGAUCACAAUAAAGUUACCAGUUUAUUUAUUUUAGGACAACUAGGAAAGCUUAUUUUAGAUUCCAUAUAGAGACAUAAUAAGGCAAACGUAGCCAGAAAAAUCUUGAACACAGUAAAACAGUAAGGAACUAAGUUUAUCACACAACAGAAUUAUACUUUAAAAGCUAUAGUAAUAGAGUUUCAUGCUGGCAUAUCAAAAGACAGAUUAAUGGAACAGAAUUCAAAAUUGGACCUAAAAGCUUAGUAUAUCAUAAAUGUGGCAUUGUAAGUGGGUAGAAAAAGAUAAUUCAUUUAAUAAAUUUUGUUGGAACAACUCACCAGGCAUUUAAUAAUAGGACUGGAUUGGAAGUUUACUUCUUAUAUCAAAAUGGAUUCCUGAUGGAUCAAAAAUUUAAUCACAAAAAAUACACUUGGACACUACUAAGAAGUAUGAAAAUUUCAAAACCCCAGAAAUCAUUUAAAAAUGAUAGACAAAGUAACUACAUAAAAAUUACAAAUUUAUGCAUGACAAAGACAAAAAGGCAAAUGAAAAACUGAGAAAAAUAGCAUGUAACAUAUAAGACACAGUAAUCAAAUCUCCUGCAUAGGCAGAAAGCACUUAGAGAUCGAGAAGAAAAAAAGUCUAAUCAAUAGCAAAAUGGGCAAAGGAUUUCAUCAGGUAGCUUAUAUAAAGUCAGUAGAUAAAAUGUUCCAAUCUCAUCCAUAAAGAAUACAUGAACAAAAAACACAUAUCAAGUAAACAAUAUCAGAUUGUCAAAAACCAGAAUGAGUGAUUAACAGUAUUGAUGAGAGUAUGGGAAAAUAGGUACUCUCAUUGUGCAGCACUCAGAUGGCCUAGGUUGUCCAAACCCUGUAUAUCCAAAGAAAGAUUUGGACCUUGUCCAACUCCUGGGAGAUAACCUCUAAGACCCUGAAAUAUUCUGCCUGUUCAGAGUUUCUUUGUCUACUUGGGGCCUUGGGCUACAUCAGAUAGUUUAUGCUAAUAAUGUGAGUUGUGGUGGGGGGCUCUGGGCCACAUUAUAUUAAUUUUGGAUGGAGAGGCGGGGGACUGAAUAACUAAAGCCAGCCACGUGGGCAUUCCAUACAGACAUAACUGGUCCCUAAUAGAAACUCUGGACACCGAGGCUGGAUGAGCUUCCCUGAUUAGCAGUACUUCAUGAGUGUUAUCUCACAUCAUGACUGGAGGAAGUAAGUGCUGUCUAUAAAACUCCACCAGGAGAGGACAACUGGAAGCCCCCAUCUAGUCUCUCCUGGACUCUGCCCUAAAUUAAUUCAGCUGAUUUUAGUCUGUAUCAUUUCACUGUAACAAGCCAUAACCAUUAAUGUCAUGGUUUUUCUGAAUUUCUCGAGUCCUUUUAAUGAAUCAUUGAACCUUGGGGUGGUCUUCAGGACUCCUGAUCACAGGUGACAUCAGAAGUGGGAUUCACUAGAAUUACCCUGACUCACUGAAAUGUGGUGAAAGAGUGGUUUGGGAAAAGGAAGGGUAAGAGGGUAGGAGUUGACAAACCUUUGAUUCUGUUUGGCCACUGGGCCACCCAUGGUGUGAAGUAGCAGCUGUGUUGCAAUCAGUUACUAGAAGUAAAAGUCACCACUGGAAUUUAGAAAUGAUAAAUCUAACUCCCAAAGAGUUGGCUCACUGGAUGCAUAAGGAAAUGCAAAAUGACAAGAAACAAGCUAAACAUACAAUCUCUCAGUUAUUAUGUGUAAUAGCUAAAAUUACAGUAAAGUGUUGAGGCAAAUCCUGACACUGGGCCAAGCUUGAAUUUCAGCUGGUCCAAGCUACAGACACUAGCUUCAGGGUUUCCAACAAAGGGACAAAUAACAUGCUGAAAAAACUGAGAGCUAAAAUAACAUGAGUCAUGAAAGAAUAGGGAAAGACAAAAGGAAGAAUCAAGGGACUCAUCCCAGCAGGUUGGACACUGAUGGGAUCAAAGGUCUUAAUGAAACACUAUUGGAGAUUACAUAGACCAAUGGGAGCUCCUGGCAUACCCCGACUUUGAAGAGCUUUAAACAAAUCUGUUCUAUUUACCUUAGUCUGGAGGAAUUAACAAAGCUGAAAGGCAAAAAGGACAAUAAAAAAUGUUACCUCAAAUCAUCUGUGGCAAUUGUCUCACAAACUAAUAUGGAUAGACUGAUGAAAAGGGUCAGGGUCCUUUAGUCUGAUCCUUGUUUGGGGACAUGGGCUAUAUGCACGUGUGGUUAAAAUGGAAAGGGGGUGGAGAACAAGCUUUUCUGGGACUCUUUGACAUGGCAGACCAAUGCACUGAGGUUCCAAAAUCUGUUGGUGAUAUCCUAAUGUGGACUACAGUUAGGUUGGGAGGACUUAGCCAUGAAAUGGUUGAUGAAAUUAAGGUGAAAGUUGAGAUUAAAACGGAAAUAUUUAAAUGGACUUCAUGUGAACUGGAUGUAUCUCCUUUACCUGAAUGUAUUGGGAUGGAUUUUAUAUCUGAUUGGGGAACACUUCCCUACCUAAUAUUGUAAAACUGAAGGCAUGUAAAUUUGCCCUUUAUCCAGUAUACUGGCUAAAUGGGAACCUAUAGAAUUGUCCAAGCCGACAGAUUUUAGUUGGAAAUAGUAUAGAAUACCUGGUGCACAAAAAUAGAGUACACCUUUAAUCAAUGACGUGUUAGAAACUGGGCUGCUGGCACCGACACAUUUUCUCUACAGUAGCCCUGUAUGGGCCAGAGAUUGGGGCUUAUGGAAAAAGCCUGUGAGCACCAUCCAGCAGUGACUGCCGGAAUUUGGACCAGAAAUUGUUCGGAUGCAGCUGUAAGAUAUACAGCAUUUGAGAACCAAUUACUAACUUGCUAUUGGACAUUAGUUGAAAAUGCCCCUGUGACUGAAUGUAUUAGUCAGGGUUCUUCAGAAAAAAUAGAACCAGUAGUGUGUGUGUAUUUAUUAUAUCAGUGAAUAUACACAUAUGCGUAUAUACAUUGUCACAAAUUAUGGAGACUGAGAAGUCUCACAAUCUGCUGUGUGCAAGCUGUAGUACUCGGAAAGCUGGUGGUGUAAUCCAGUCCAAGUCCAAAAGCCUGAGAACUAGAAGCUCUGAUGUCUGGGGCAGAUGAUGAAUAUCCCAGUUCAAGAAGAGAGCUCUCACCCUUCCUCCAUCCUUUUGUUCUAUUCAAGCAGGCCCUCAAUAGAUUGGAUGAUGCCCCACCUCCUUAUAUUGGUGAUGGUGGAUCUUCUUUACUGAAUCUACCAAUUCAAAUGCUAAUCUAUUCCAGAAACACCCUCAGAGGCACAUCCAGAAAUAAUGUUUUACCAGCUAUCUGGGCAUCCCGUGGCCCAGUCAAGCUGACACAUAAAAUUAACCAUUAUACUGAAGGACAUAUAACCGUGAAAGCUGAAAUGCCCACAAUGCCUUAAGUGAUGUGAAAGAAACACUCUAAUAAGGCAGUGCCCAGAAGGGCUCCAUAAUAAAUGGAAACGGUUUAUACAGGACAAUGUUACUGGGACAGUGCAAGGAGAUACUCAUUCUGUUCAUGUGCAGGAGGUCUCUUUUCCACUGGAGCCUACUUUGAAAUCAGCUGAGGAGCCACCAAAUCCUAUGGCCACCUGGGCUGUGCCCUAUGAACAGCUCUCUAUUGAAAGAGAGCUACUAGGUUGACUGAUGGCAGUUCCAAGGUGGAUAAUCAACAUCCUGUUUGGAAGACUACUGUACUACAUCAGAUGAUGGAAAAGUUCUGAUUGAGGAAGGUAAGAACAAUCUGCUCAGGCUGAACUAUAUGCUGUCCUUGCAGUGAUGAAAAAACUGAACAAGUAUAAAAGUUCCAUUUAAAAAUAAUCAAAGUUUGGGUGUGCCAAUGGCUGGCCAUAUGGUCAAAUAGAUGGGUGAUGAAAAACUAGUCUAUUAGAUGCCCCAUGUGGGGCACCAUCCUAUGGAAAUCACCAUGGAAUUUAGGGGCACAUUAAAGUAGGACAUGUCAGUGCCCACCAGAAGAACACUCUUCCAGGAUCAGAUGAUGACUGGACCCAGUAAGUGGAAAACUUGGUGUGUUUACUUGAGGUGGGCAUGUGGGUCCAUGAAAUAAAUGGAAAUGGGAGAGGUGUAGGAAUGUAGGCAUGGGCUGAUUGUUGGCAUAUUUCUCUUACUCCCUCUGAGGCACAAAAUACAAAUAAAUGCUUCAAGAGAGACGGAGACCGCAGGUGGCUAUGGGCAGAUUUCCUGGGGAGCAGGUGGCACACACAACUGACAAGUAACUACAUCGGAAUGCUGUGGUAGCCCCCAGAGACUAUAAAAGGGUCCUGACAGGACUAGACAUUUACUCUGGACUAGGCUUUGCACCCCCAGAGGUAGAUGGAUACAAAAUGCUUAGAAUACUGUAAAAGGACUGAAACAGAAGAUACUGUGGCAAUUUGGACCAUCAAGUUAUAUUUCUUCAGACCAAGAAACACACUUUACAGCCCAUAGUGUCUAAUGAUGGGCAAAAAGAUAUCACAUCAAAAUGGACUAGUGGUUUACUAGAGAAUUGGAAAAGGUAAUUGAAACUUUUUUUUUUGUCUAAAAUAGGGGGUGAUAAAGGCAGGAAGGGCUGACAUAUAUACCUUCAUGUGUAUGCACAUUCAACAUGAGGGGGACAAGAGUGGGUCCCCACUUGACAAAUUCUUUUAUGGUGGAUCUGGAGAAGGGAUAGAGGAGGACACUGGUACAAACUACAAAAUGAUUUCUCCAGUCACCUCAACUUUUCUUUUUUUUUCCAGCCUGGGGCAGUGGUUGGAGACUGCAGGUGCUAGAAACAGGAAUCAUUCUUAAGCAAGAAACUUACCUUUCAACCUUUAUGUCGGAAUUGCUAUGGGCCUAACGGGGUGGACUGUGUCUUCACCCCACCUGGCAAAAUUCAGAUUGAUAGUGAAUGCAGCUGUAUUUCCUGGUGGUCAAGAUAGCCCACUAGUUCUGUACCUAUAUAUCCUUACUCUAAAUAAAAGGGAAUGAGCUGAAAGGAAGCACGAGCUAGACUGGUAUUACUGCUGGCAAUCUAGACCAGGACAGUGGCUAAGCCUAACAACUCUUCCAAAGGUGAAAACGUUUGGGUAAAAAAUUAUGACAAGUGAAAAAUAGGAGAAAUAGCCAAGGCACAGGAAUAAAUAAAUGAAAUAGGUAAUGAGGAAAAUCUAGUAUUACACUGGUGUUUUGAGAGAGGCUCAGAGCAAGAGACUGUAGUCUCUUAGCUUAAUUAUCCUAGAUGCCCAAAAAGGUAAAGUCAGUUUUCUAAGACUAGCCUUACUCUUAGAAGCUGAAAAGGUUGAAUGGAAGCCUGCAAACUUGAGUGGCAUUGCUCUGGGAGACAUUCUGGUCAUAAGAUAUAAUGAUGAACUGGACCAAUUAAUUGUUAAUGACAGAGGUAAUGAGCCAUUAUCUUUUGAUUCUUAUUUUUCAGGUUACAUCUACUACAAUACUGCAGAUACAGUAUAACAUUGGUAUUGCUGGUAUGAUUCCUCUCCCUUAGGAUUUGUUUCCCAUUUCAGGGAACAAACAAGAGUGCCCCAAAGAAGUUCUGAGAGGACUAUUAUCAGUGAUUGCCACAUUGAUUCAUUGGAUCAUAUAACCUUAGGGGUGUGCCUUCACUCUUUAUCUGACCUUCUUCUGGAUACAGCAAACACUUGUGGACCAGCUGCACUGAAGCAUUAAACAAGGUUGGUAAGUUACCAAGAAGCACACAAACCCUGUAACUUGAGCUGUGGAAAGUUAGACAUGCAAUACAAGAGGACUAACAUUAGAUUAACAUGCCUAUUCUGUAGAAAGGAUUUAAUAGAAUGAGUUACAGACGUCUGAAAGAAUGACUAGUGGCUGGGAACUCCCAGCUCCCAGCAGCUGACUCUACACUGAAGGCAUCCUUUUCACUUUGUUUUCCUGUGGUGGAAAAAGAAGUAUUUACCAGUCUCACAUUCUUAUUAUAGAAGUUAUUAAACAUGUUAUUUCAAUGCACCACUGCAUAUAUCUGAUAUGUAUCACUGGCUGGUGGCAACUAGCUCUUCAAUGCCACAGGCUACAACACACAAGAAAAUCUAAGGUAUGCAAAACACAUCAGUUCAACAUUCAGACAAAUUAAAAGUGCUUUAAAGAGACAUUAACACCAAAUAUGGUACGUACCUAAA
Molecule: long non-coding RNA, 7180 nt
Filed under: Homo sapiens (human)
Lineage: Eukaryota; Metazoa; Chordata; Mammalia; Primates; Hominidae
Description: HSALNT0343611
Source: RNAcentral